Molecule: small RNA, 28 nt
Filed under: Bombyx mori (domestic silkworm)
Lineage: Eukaryota; Metazoa; Arthropoda; Insecta; Lepidoptera; Bombycidae
Description: ovarian small RNA-24380
Source: RNAcentral
UCAAAAUCAUACCUCCCUGGGCCAUUUA